CAUGUACUCCCUCCGUUCUGAAUUACUCGUCGCAGAAAUGGAUUUAUCUAGAUGUAUUUUACUUCUACAUACAUCCAAUUCUGCGAUGAGUAAUUUGGAACGGAGGGAGUAGGAA
Non-coding RNA from Triticum urartu, 115 nucleotides. The record is from Rfam. NCBI's taxonomy places the organism in Eukaryota, Viridiplantae, Streptophyta, Magnoliopsida, Poales, Poaceae.